UACGUAGGGGGCAAGCGUUGUCCGGAAUCAUUGGGCGUAAAGCGCGUGUAGGCGGCUCGGCAAGUCUGCUGUGAAAGUCCAGGGCUCAACCCUGGGAUGCCGGUGGAUACUGUCGAGCUCGAGUCCGGAAGAGGCGAGUGGAAUUCCUGGUGUAGCGGUGAAAUGCGCAGAUAUCAGGAGGAACACCAAUGGCGAAGGCAGCUCGCUGGGACGUGACUGACGCUGAGACGCGAAAGCGUGGGGAGCAAACAGG
RNAcentral lists this ribosomal RNA (253 nucleotides) under uncultured bacterium. Its description in RNAcentral is "partial 16S ribosomal RNA". It matches the Rfam family "Bacterial small subunit ribosomal RNA", at positions 524 to 776 of the family's 1533-position model. The record is from RNAcentral.